Molecule: ribosomal RNA, 320 nt
Filed under: uncultured eukaryote
Lineage: Eukaryota
Description: partial 18S ribosomal RNA
Rfam family: Eukaryotic small subunit ribosomal RNA
Source: RNAcentral
CCCUUAGAUGUCCGGGGCCGCACGCGCGCUACACUGAACAGUUCAACAAGUCUUAACCUUGGCCGAUAGGUCUGGGUAAUCUUUGAACGCUGUUCGUGAUUGGGAUAGACCUUUGCAAUUAUGGGUCUUCAACGAGGAAUUCCUAGUAAACGCAAGUCAUCAGCUUGCAUUGAUUACGUCCCUGCCCUUUGUACACACCGCCCGUCGCACCUACCGAUUGAAUGGUCCGGUGAAAUCUCGGGACGGCGGCUUGGUCGCUUGCGUCCGACUGCUGAAACUUGAUUAAACCAUAUCAUUUAGAGGAAGGUGAAGUCGUAACA